UUGACCUCGGAUCAGGUAGGGAUACCCGCUGAACUUAAGCAUAUCAAUAAGCGGAGGAAAAGAAACCAACCGGGAUUGCCUCAGUAACGGCGAGUGAAGCGGCAAGAGCUCAAAUUUGAAAUCUGGCCCCUCCGGGGUCCGAGUUGUAAUUUGCAGAGGAUGCUUCGGGUGCGGCCCCUGUCUAAGUGCCCUGGAACGGGCCGUCAGAGAGGGUGAGAAUCCCGUCUUGGGCAGGGUGCCCGUGCCCGUGUGAAGCUCCUUCGACGAGUCGAGUUGUUUGGGAAUGCAGCUCUAAAUGGGUGGUAAAUUUCAUCUAAAGCUAAAUACCGGCCGGAGACCGAUAGCGCACAAGUAGAGUGAUCGAAAGAUGAAAAGCACUUUGAAAAGAGAGUUAAACAGCACGUGAAAUUGUUGAAAGGGAAGCGCUUGCGACCAGACUCGGCCCCGGGGUUCAGCCAGCACUCGUGCUGGUGUACUUCCCCGGGGGCGGGCCAGCGUCGGUUUGGGCGGCCGGUCAAAGGCCCCAGGAAUGUGUCGCCCUCCGGGGCGUCUUAUAGCCUGGGGUGCAAUGCGGCCAGCCCGGACCGAGGAACGCGCUUCGGCACGGACGCUGGCGUAAUGGUCGCAAACGACC
Molecule: ribosomal RNA, 634 nt
Filed under: Aspergillus pseudodeflectus
Lineage: Eukaryota; Fungi; Ascomycota; Eurotiomycetes; Eurotiales; Aspergillaceae
Also listed under: 4 other names
Description: eukaryotic LSU rRNA
Rfam family: Eukaryotic large subunit ribosomal RNA
Source: RNAcentral